UACGUAGGGUCCGAGCGUUGUCCGGAAUUAUUGGGCGUAAAGAGCUCGUAGGCGGUUUGUUGCGUCGGCUGUGAAAUCCCGAGGCUCAACCUCGGGUCUGCAGUCGAUACGAGCAAACUAGAGUGUUGCAGGGGAGACUGGAAUUCCUGGUGUAGCGGUGAAAUGCGCAGAUAUCAGGAGGAACACCGGUGGCGAAGGCGGGUCUCUGGGCAACAACUGACGCUGGAGGAGCGAAAGCCGUGGGGAGCGAACAGG
This 255-nucleotide ribosomal RNA is filed under the name uncultured bacterium. RNAcentral describes it as "partial 16S ribosomal RNA". It matches the Rfam family "Bacterial small subunit ribosomal RNA", at positions 524 to 776 of the family's 1533-position model. The record is from RNAcentral.